Molecule: microRNA precursor, 84 nt
Organism: Anolis carolinensis (green anole)
Lineage: Eukaryota; Metazoa; Chordata; Lepidosauria; Squamata; Anolidae
Source: Ensembl
GAUGGCCUCUAUCUUGCCGUUCUUACCGAGGCAAUAAAGUAGAUGAGAUUUUUGCCUAAGUAAGGACUUCAGGAUUAGGCCCAA